GUUUUUGAUGGAGAGUUUGAUCCUGGCUCAGGACGAACGCUGGCGGCGUGCUUAACACAUGCAAGUCGAGCGGUAAGGCCUCUUCGGGGGUACACGAGCGGCGAACGGGUGAGUAACACGUGAGUAAUCUGCCCUUCACUUCGGGAUAACUACCGGAAACGGUGGCUAAUACCGGAUAUGACCUGUCCUCGCAUGGGGGUGGGUGGAAAGUUCUGGCGGUGGAGGAUGUGCUCGCGGCCUAUCAGCUUGAUGGUGGGGUAAUGGCCUACCAUGGCUUCGACGGGUAGCCGGCCUGAGAGGGUGACCGGCCACACUGGGACUGAGACACGGCCCAGACUCCUACGGGAGGCAGCAGUGGGGAAUAUUGGACAAUGGGCGAAAGCCUGAUCCAGCAACGCC
RNAcentral lists this ribosomal RNA (399 nucleotides) under uncultured Nocardioides sp. Its description in RNAcentral is "SSU rRNA". It matches the Rfam family "Bacterial small subunit ribosomal RNA", at positions 1 to 398 of the family's 1533-position model. Lineage: Bacteria; Bacillati; Actinomycetota; Actinomycetes; Propionibacteriales; Nocardioidaceae. The record is from RNAcentral.